Molecule: unclassified non-coding RNA, 214 nt
Filed under: Hevea brasiliensis (rubber tree)
Lineage: Eukaryota; Viridiplantae; Streptophyta; Magnoliopsida; Malpighiales; Euphorbiaceae
Source: RNAcentral
GAACAUCAAUUAUCUGAACACAGAUCUACUACCUCCUCAUCACAUCAGCUCAGGUCAUAACACGUAAUUAUCAGGCUCAAAUUGAUUUUCCUACAGAACUGAACAAUUGUCCAACUGUUAGCAAACCUUACAAGGCCGACUCAAGCAAACACCCAAUAUGAGAAUGACAACUAUCAACAUCUUACAUCUAAAAUCAAGUUAUAGUACCAAUCAA